Molecule: long non-coding RNA, 199 nt
Filed under: Elaeis guineensis (African oil palm)
Lineage: Eukaryota; Viridiplantae; Streptophyta; Magnoliopsida; Arecales; Arecaceae
Description: long non-coding RNA (EGUI_LNC032315)
Source: RNAcentral
GUAUAGUAAGAAAAUUAGAGAAGGUCCGAUAUAUAUCCGAUUUCAGACAGAAUUUUAUCUCACUGGGCAGACUGGAUUCGAGAGGCUAUAGGACGGUAGCUGAUGGAGGAAUGCUGAAGAUGUUGCAAGGCGAUAGGAUUAUUCUGGAGGAGAAGAAGAGGACGAGAGGAUAUUACUAUCUGGUGGGAAGCUCAGUGUA